This 71-nucleotide transfer RNA is filed under the name Gammaproteobacteria bacterium. RNAcentral describes it as "tRNA-Trp". The record is from RNAcentral. Lineage: Bacteria; Pseudomonadati; Pseudomonadota; Gammaproteobacteria.
AGAUCGUCGCUCAGGGAGCAAAUCAGAUUCCAACCCUGAUGAGGUGGGUUCGAUACCUACACGAUCUGCCA